RNAcentral lists this ribosomal RNA (520 nucleotides) under uncultured Glomeromycotina. RNAcentral describes it as "SSU rRNA". It matches the Rfam family "Eukaryotic small subunit ribosomal RNA", at positions 569 to 1093 of the family's 1831-position model. Lineage: Eukaryota; Fungi; Glomeromycota. The record is from RNAcentral.
AGCAGCCGCGGUAAUUCCAGCUCCAAUAGCGUAUAUUAAAGUUGUUGCAGUUAAAAAGCUCGUAGUUGAAUUUCGGGGUUAGUAGAUUGGUCAUGCCUCCGGUAUGCACUGGUCUUACUGAUUCCUCCUUCCUGAUGAACCGUAAUGCCAUUAAUUUGGUGUUGCGGGGAAACUGGACUGUUACUUUGAAAAAAUUAGAGUGUUUAAAGCAGGCUAACGCUUGAAUACAUUAGCAUGGAAUAAUGAAAUAGGACGUUCGAUCUUAUUUUGUUGGUUUCUAGGAUUGACGUAAUGAUUAAUAGGGAUAGUUGGGGGCAUUAGUAUUCAAUUGUCAGAGGUGAAAUUCUUGGAUUUAUUGAAGACUAACUACUGCGAAAGCAUUUGCCAAGGAUGUUUUCAUUAAUCAAGAACGAAGUUAGGGGAUCGAAGACGAUCAGAUACCGUCGUAGUCUUAACCAUAAACUAUGCCGACUAGGGAUCGGAUGAUGUUAAUUUUAAUGACUCAUUCGGCGCCUUACGG